This 253-nucleotide ribosomal RNA is filed under the name uncultured bacterium. Its description in RNAcentral is "partial 16S ribosomal RNA". It matches the Rfam family "Bacterial small subunit ribosomal RNA", at positions 524 to 776 of the family's 1533-position model. The record is from RNAcentral.
UACAGAGGUCUCAAGCGUUGUUCGGAUUCAUUGGGCGUAAAGCGCACGUAGGCGGCCUGUUAAGUCGGGUGUGAAAGCCCCGGGCUCAACCCGGGAAGUGCAUUCGAAACUGGCAGGCUUGAAUAUGGAAGAGGGUCGCGGAAUUCCCGGUGUAGAGGUGAAAUUCGUAGAUAUUCGGAGGAACACCAGUGGCGAAGGCGGCUCACUGGUCCGGUACUGACGCUGAGGUGCGAAAGCGUGGGGAGCAAACAGG